AACGCACGAGACCUGCGGACCUGCGGAAGGAUCAUUACCGAGUUAUCAACUCCCAAACCCCUGUGAACAUACCCGAACGUUGCCUCGGCGGGACCGCCCCGGCGCCCCUAGCGGCCCGGAACCAGGCGCCCGCCGGAGGACCCAAACUCUUGCUUUAAACAGUGGCAUACUCUCUGAGUCUCACGAACAAAAAAUAAAUCAAAACUUUUAACAACGGAUCUCUAGAUCGGAAGAGCACAC
Molecule: unclassified non-coding RNA, 240 nt
Filed under: soil metagenome
Description: partial contains 5.8S ribosomal RNA, internal transcribed spacer 2, and large subunit ribosomal RNA
Source: RNAcentral